Molecule: ribosomal RNA, 253 nt
Filed under: uncultured bacterium
Lineage: Bacteria
Description: partial 16S ribosomal RNA
Rfam family: Bacterial small subunit ribosomal RNA
Source: RNAcentral
GACAGAGGUCUCAAGCGUUAGGCGGAAUCACUGGGCUUAAAGCGUGUGUAGGCGGAUCGUUAAGUGCUUUGUGAAAUCCCACAGCUCAACUGUGGAACUGCUUGGCAUACUGGCGGUCUUGAGCCAUCUAGGGGUCGCUGGAACAAACGGUGGAGCGGUGAAAUGCGUAGAUAUCUGGAGGAACACCGGUGGCGAAGGCGGCAUCCUGGACCGACACUGACGCUGAGGAGCGAAAGCCAGGGGAGCAAACGGG